RNAcentral lists this unclassified non-coding RNA (292 nucleotides) under Hevea brasiliensis (rubber tree). Lineage: Eukaryota; Viridiplantae; Streptophyta; Magnoliopsida; Malpighiales; Euphorbiaceae. The record is from RNAcentral.
GGCAAAUAGACAUUGACAUGGGGUAAUUCAUUAAAAAUUAAAUUGAUCACAGUUAUUGCUUUUAACAAUUAACACAGCAUAAUCUCACAUUCCACUGGUUCAUAUAAGGCAGUUUUUUUAUCUAGAGUUCUAAACUGGAAAACACACCCUCGAACCACAUGAACAGCCCAAUCAAAUGCAAAAAAAGAAAUAGAUAAUGAAGCAAGUUGCUGACAAGAUAGCGCACAGAUAUAACAAUCAAGGAAGCUGAUGUUUCACACUGAAAACUUACAUGCAUAGCUGCCUGGUCCAU